This 253-nucleotide ribosomal RNA is filed under the name uncultured bacterium. RNAcentral describes it as "partial 16S ribosomal RNA". It matches the Rfam family "Bacterial small subunit ribosomal RNA", at positions 524 to 776 of the family's 1533-position model. The record is from RNAcentral.
UACGGGGGGGGCAAGCGUUGUUCGGAAUUAUUGGGCGUAAAGAGCUCGUAGGCGGUUUGUUGCGUCGGCCGUGAAAACCUGCAGCUUAACUGUGGGCCUGCGGCCGAUACGGGCAGACUUGAGUUCGGUAGGGGUGACUGGAAUUCCUGGUGUAGCGGUGAAAUGCGCAGAUAUCAGGAGGAACACCGGUGGCGAAGGCGGGUCUCUGGGCCGAUACUGACGCUGAGGAGCGAAAGCGUGGGGAGCGAACAGG